GUCUUCAGCCUCACCUGUUAAUCAGCCUCUCUCCUCUCACCUGUGUAUCGUUUCACUCUGCUCCUGUUUACUGCGUGUUUGAGAUCCUAAUUCCUGUGAUUCUGUUAUUCCAGUUCUUUUUCCUAGUGUUCCCGUUGUGUUGCUUAUGUUGUGUUUUGUUUUUUUGGCUUGUUUCCCUGAAGUAAGACUCAGUUCCUGUUGGAAAUACUGGAUAUCUGAAGGUACACUGACCAAUUGAACUUCCAGCCCCUGCUUCCUGGUUCCUCCAGUAACGCGUGGACGGACAGAGAUGGACGAGGGCAGACCAGAGAGGACAUGGAGUGUCUGAAGGAGGUGGGGGGCUUGAAGGUGGGGGAUGACCAAAAAGGACUCUGGCUGAAGGAAAGCUCCUGCAUCGAUGGUUGUCUGUGGAUGGUUGUCUGACUGCUGGAGAAAAAAGUUGGCAGUCGGAGAGAGCGGCCAUCCAUCAUGUUCUGAAUGGAUGACCUUUGAGAGGCGUGGCCUGUCAGAGAAACAAAAUAAAGCAACAAGUUCUAACAAAUAUGAAGACAUUUAAUGAUGAAUCAUAAC
Molecule: long non-coding RNA, 570 nt
Organism: Cynoglossus semilaevis (tongue sole)
Lineage: Eukaryota; Metazoa; Chordata; Actinopteri; Pleuronectiformes; Cynoglossidae
Exons: 3
Source: RefSeq, a predicted model, not a curated record